RNAcentral lists this ribosomal RNA (462 nucleotides) under uncultured bacterium. RNAcentral describes it as "bacterial SSU rRNA". It matches the Rfam family "Bacterial small subunit ribosomal RNA", at positions 8 to 507 of the family's 1533-position model. The record is from RNAcentral.
AGAGUUUGAUCCUGGCUCAGAGCGAACGCUAGCGGCGGGCCUAACACAUGCAAGUCGAGCGGGGAGCAAUCCCAGCGGCGGACGGGUGAGUAACGCGUAGGUAAUCAACCUUCUGGUGGGGAAUAACCCAGGGAAACUUGGGCUAAUACCGCAUAUGGCCUUCGGGUCAAAGCAGCAAUGCGCCAGAAGACGAGCCUGCGUCCCAUUAUUUAUUCCUAGUUGGCGGGGUAACGGCCCACCAAGGGUACGAUGGGUAGCGGGUCUGAGAGGAUGAUCAGCCACACUGGAACUGAGACACGGUCCAGACUCCUACGGGAGGCAGCAGUGGGGAAUAUUGCGCAAUGGGCGAAAGCCUGACGCAGCCACGCCGCGUGAGUGAUGAAGGCCUUCGGGUCGUAAAGCUCUGUCGGAGGGGAAGAAACAAUGACGGUACCCUCCAAGAAAGCACCGGCUAACUCCGUG